AGUAGGGUUGACAACUCUAGGACUGGUAAGACUGGGGAUAACUCCCCGGAAAGACAAGAGGCUAAUACCGGAUAGUUCCUUGAACCGCAUGGUUCAAGGAUGAAAGACGGUUUCGGCUGUCACUUACAGAUGGACCCGCGGCGCAUUAGCUAGUUGGUGAGGUAACGGCUCACCAAGGCGACGAUGCGUAGCCGACCUGAGAGGGUGAUCGGCCACACUGGGACUGAGACACGGCCCAGACUCCUACGGGAGGCAGCAGUAGGGAAUCUUCCGCAAUGGACGAAAGUCUGACGGAGCAACGCCGCGUGAGUGAUGAAGGUUUUCGGAUCGUAAAGCUCUGUUGUUAGGGAAGAACAAGUGCAAGAGUAACUGCUUGCACCUUGACGGUACCUAACCAGAAAGCCACGGCUAACUACGUGCCAGCAGCCGCGGUAAUACGUAGGUGGCAAGCGUUGUCCGGAAUUAUUGGGCGUAAAGGGCUCGCAGGCGGUUUCUUAAGUCUGAUGUGAAAGCCCCCGGCUCAACCGGGGAGGGUCAUUGGAAACUGGGAAACUUGAGUGCAGAAGAGGAGAGUGGAAUUCCACGUGUAGCGGUGAAAUGCGUAGAGAUGUGGAGGAACACCAGUGGCGAAGGCGACUCUCUGGUCUGUAACUGACGCUGAGGAGCGAAAGCGUGGGGAGCGAACAGGAUUAGAUACCCUGGUAGUCCACGCCGUAAACGAUGAGUGCUAAGUGGUUAGGGGGUUUCCCCCCUUGUGCUGCAGCUAACUGCAUUAGCACUCCGCCUGGCGGAGUACGGUCGCAAGAC
This 807-nucleotide ribosomal RNA is filed under the name Bacillus sp. CXN1. RNAcentral's name for it is "bacterial SSU rRNA". It matches the Rfam family "Bacterial small subunit ribosomal RNA", at positions 115 to 894 of the family's 1533-position model. Lineage: Bacteria; Bacillati; Bacillota; Bacilli; Caryophanales; Bacillaceae. The record is from RNAcentral.